GACGAACGCUGGCGGCGUGCUUAACACAUGCAAGUCGAACGGAAAGGCCCUGCUUUUGUGGGGUGCUCGAGUGGCGAACGGGUGAGUAACACGUGAGUAACCUGCCCUUGACUUUGGGAUAACUUCAGGAAACUGGGGCUAAUACCGGAUAGGAGCUCCUGCUGCAUGGUGGGGGUUGGAAAGUUUCGGCGGUUGGGGAUGGACUCGCGGCUUAUCAGCUGGUUGGUGGGGUAGUGGCUUACCAAGGCUUUGACGGGUAGCCGGCCUGAGAGGGUGACCGGCCACAUUGGGACUGAGAUACGGCCCAGACUCCUACGGGAGGCAGCAGUGGGGAAUAUUGCACAAUGGGCGGAAGCCUGAUGCAGCAACGCCGCGUGCGGGAUACCGGCCUUCGGGUUGUAAACCGCUUUCGCCUGUGACGAAGCGUGAGUGACGGUAAUGGGUAAAGAAGCACCGGCUAACUACGUG
This 468-nucleotide ribosomal RNA is filed under the name uncultured bacterium. Its description in RNAcentral is "partial 16S ribosomal RNA". It matches the Rfam family "Bacterial small subunit ribosomal RNA", at positions 28 to 507 of the family's 1533-position model. The record is from RNAcentral.